GCAAUCUGUGGAUUGUGGCAAAUGCCAGAGGGGCUGCUGUAAGAUGCCACAGAGAGUCACUAUUUAUUGGGUUGGGUGGGGGGAUAUUGCCUAUUUUGAAUGCCAGUUCAGUUCAAGCUUUUGUAAAGGCCACAGUUGAUUUUACUCUGAGCCCCCAACUUUAACCCAUAAAAUGCUCAUAAUAAUAGUAAGUACAUAGUGAUUCCUAGUCUAGUAGAUUUUCUAUAUUGCUUUUUGAAAUAUUUACAUUGCAAACAAAAAAAUAUAUUUUAUCUUGUUCUCCUUUUUGUCCUCUGUAAGGAAACAGUUUACCUUGCUCCUGUCUGAUGUCUUGCACAACUGUUUGGGUGCUAGGUGCACCGGCAGGUUUCACCACUUCUAAAGCUCCUGGCUUCUGGUCUGCAGGAGAAGAAAUAUUUACCGUGGUUCCUGGGCACAGUACAAAGCAUGGCGAGCAAGAAGACUUACCUGAUAAGGUUCUGUAACCACAACAGAAGGAACGGUUGCAGCACUUUCUAUUCUUGACAAGGUUUCAAGCCACGGACCAAUGAACAAGGUCCAGCCUCAAUCUUACCUGAAAGGGUUGAAAAGUCAGCAAUCUGGAACACAUGCUCCUCAUCUGGGUCAGAAGCGAUCAAGUUCAUUUCAUUUCGGAAGAGAUUAUAGUUAGGGUCAUGUGUAUCGACCACCCCAAUUACAUACAUUUCAACAUUUACAGAAUGGGCUUCCCUCACAACAAGGUCCAGUGAUAAAUUAUCGCGGACAUCAGCCUGCCCAUCUGUGAUAACAAUGGCGAUUUUUUUCACAUCUCCUCUGGACUGCUGAAACAAUUCUGUUGAUUUUUUGAUGGCGGUCGCAGUGUAUGUGCCUUCUCCCAAGUAAUUCAUGCGAUUGAUGGCUUCCCUUAGGUUCUCUUUGUUGGACAGUUGACCUAUGUGUGCAACAACCUCUACUUUGUGGCUGAAGUUUAUUAUUCCUACUUUAGAAGCUGAUUGAUCUGUUGAUAUUUUAUCGAUGACCCUGUUCACAAAUUGUUUAAUGAUAUCAAAGUUUUCUGGUCCCACGCUUUCAGAGCUGUCAAUAAUAAAGACGAGGUCCAGCGGGACAUCUUUGCAAUCUUUUCCACAACCUGUAGAAAAAAAUGUAAAGAACUAAUUGGUUUGCUGAUAUAUAAUGGAGUUAGACUAUAGCUUUUCAAAAAAUGUAUGAAAUCUUGAAAACAGCAGAAGACAUUUUCUGAAGUUUACAGAGUUGGAAAGGGAUCCAGGAGCAUCUUGGCCACCCUGCCCUGUUGCACCCCCUGCUCAACUUCUUUGGAUGGACAUCAGAGAACUUAAAGUGAUGAUUAUAUUCAUUUUAAUGGCACAGGUAAGUUAGCAUUUAGGAGCAAACUGGUGACAGCAGAUGACUGGCUGAGGGGGGGGGGGGGGCUUAAAUCUGGCAGACUGUGUUUACUGGCCUGUGACUAAAGCAUCAUGCUACAACAAACAUGUUGUUUUAAGUACUUUUGUCUAAACCUGCUAUAUUUUAUUCUUACAAUUGUAUGCAAUGGCAACCAUGUUGAUAGUGCAGGAGCACUUCCACCUUAAUUAAUUGCUCUCCAUUGCACAUGUGCAGGGGCAUUCAUAAUAUCUUAUUAUGGGCAUCUACAGGGAAAGUCUUGCUCACACUUGCAUCAGUAAUAAAAUAAUGGCAUUUAUAAUAAUAAACUGUAAACUUUUUCUUUUAAGGCAACAAUAUAAGCAUAAGAAAUCAUUUUUACUGUGUUAGUAAAUUGGCACUUUAAUAAAACCUUAUUUCAUAAUAUCUAGUAUAAAUAAAUUUAAAGCAACUGGA
This is a long non-coding RNA of Xenopus tropicalis (tropical clawed frog), 1836 nucleotides long. RefSeq lists it as uncharacterized. The transcript is spliced from 4 exons. Lineage: Eukaryota; Metazoa; Chordata; Amphibia; Anura; Pipidae. The record is from RefSeq and is a predicted model, not a curated record.